AAAUAAGAAGCGAAUUAUUGCUCCCAGUUUCGACCUGGAAUAUUUGAUGUUAAAUCAUCCUUA
This 63-nucleotide transfer RNA is filed under the name Epitheca princeps. RNAcentral's name for it is "tRNA-Arg". The record is from RNAcentral. Lineage: Eukaryota; Metazoa; Arthropoda; Insecta; Odonata; Corduliidae.